Molecule: long non-coding RNA, 657 nt
Filed under: Carica papaya (papaya)
Lineage: Eukaryota; Viridiplantae; Streptophyta; Magnoliopsida; Brassicales; Caricaceae
Description: long non-coding RNA (CPAP_LNC015356)
Source: RNAcentral
AACACCCUUCCCUUUGGCCAUUUUUUCUUGUUUUUUUUUUUCCUUUCAUGACUUCCCUUCCUCCUAUAUAGCAAUGUACUCAAUUUUUCAAAAAAUAUAGGUUGACGCCGCAACCGCUUCUCUUCCACAGUUUAAGAAGCCUUUUUUCUUCUAUUUAAAACACCAAGCAUAGUUGACACUAAGGUAAUGAUAGGAGUAUUGUCUUUCUUGAUACGCGGUGAAGUGUGUGUGUUCAUCACGAUUUAAUAAGAUGAAUGGUUAAGUGAGUUUACGAGUUUUAUUGAUUUAGGAAAGAAAAUAAUCGAGUGAGGCACCAAGGUGCUAGAAGGGACUGCAUCGCACAGUUGUGCCAUGCAAUCGAUGCAUGUGGGUUGUUGUCUAGGCACGACCAAGUGCUCAAAGAAAGCCCCUUAGCACAUUAUGUGCGCUCAAAAAGCUGCAUACAUGCCCCCAGGCUCUACCAAGCACACAUGCGGGUCGAUUAUGAGUUAGGAACAAAUCUUUAUGACUAAUGGCUGGUGAAGGUUGGGUAAUUUAGAUCACUGAAUUUGUUAAUAGUAGUACUUGUGUUUUAGAAAUUUUAGUUUUAGAGAGGUCGGUUUAUGGUAUCAUAAUAAUUGAUCUUCUAGGAUAUUGUAUUUAAGAUUGUAUUCUUUC